Molecule: long non-coding RNA, 742 nt
Filed under: Citrus sinensis (sweet orange)
Lineage: Eukaryota; Viridiplantae; Streptophyta; Magnoliopsida; Sapindales; Rutaceae
Description: long non-coding RNA (CSIN_LNC001065)
Source: RNAcentral
CCGAAUCUGUUCUAAAUCAAGAUUAUUAUCAUCCGAAAUUCCGAAUUUAAUUUGCACACAAGACAGUAUAAAUCAACAAUUCAAAGAAAAAAAAGAAGAAUUUAAACCAUUAAAAGGAUAGCCAUUAGGUAGAAUUUCACACGAAGAGCAGUCAGUCAACCAAGCUUCUCUUUGCCUGAAUUGCCGGAAGCAUUCGGCCACUUUUCAUGAACUGCAGAUCAGAUAGAAUUUUUGUUGCAUCCAUUCUGGAAGAUGUACUUAAUAUCUGAUUUCGAUUUGGACUAAAAGAAAAUAUGCAACUGAAUCUGACUGAAUGAAAAUAAAAAAGUACCCAAAAGAAAGAACUGCAGCUCUAACGAAUGCAGAUAAAAUCAUCACCCAUUGUGUUCUGAGACAAAGAGAAUCUAUGGUGAUUGAUUUAUAUCCAACGGUGCCAGCGGUGACGUCCCACGCGCGACGAUGACGGUGGAUCGAGCUCCCACAGCCAUGAGCCUCUAAGUGGCCGGUCGAUGGCAAUUCGGCCGUUUCAGGUGACGGGAAUGGCCAGUUUUUCGUGCUACAAACGGCGGCGUUCCGGUGGGUUUUUUGCUACGCUGACGGCUGGGAUAUAAUGCCCAGUCUUUAAGCUUCCAAUUGAUACCUUGCUCGGCCGGUGAGGUGGCCGGAAUCGUGAAAAACAACCUGUUCGGUUCUCGGGUGCGGGACGGGUUUUUGGUAGCUGCUUCUUUUAUUUUUAUUUAUU